Molecule: long non-coding RNA, 1104 nt
Filed under: Gadus morhua (Atlantic cod)
Lineage: Eukaryota; Metazoa; Chordata; Actinopteri; Gadiformes; Gadidae
Description: lncRNA (ENSGMOG00000031482.1)
Source: RNAcentral
AUGCGCUAUUUGGAGGAUAUUUGGGGUGUCUGGCAACACUCGGAAGCGGAAUUCGAUUGUUUUCUAAAUAUCCUAAACACGCACGAUCCGUCCAUCACGCUCAAAUCGUGCAAGCACUUUUCCUCGGUAGACUUCCUGGACACUACAACGUUUAAAGGACCUGACUUCGCAACGUCCCUCACGUUGGAAGUCAAAGUCUUUUUUAAAGCAACAGACACACACGCGCUCUUGCAUGCGAGCAGCUUUCACCCGAAACACACGUUCGCGGGACUACUAAAAUCACAACUCCUACGGUUUCAACGGAUCUGUUCCAGAACCUCUGAUUUCUGGCAAGCAGUCAGGGUUCUGUUUGAGGCUCUUGCCCUCAGGGGUUAUUCGCGUUCGGCCCGCCGUCUUUCGCUUAAGGUUUUCAAAUUAGUGCAUCCGCCUGUGGAGGGACACCGUAUACCUUUUGUGACGACAUAUUCCACCUCCUCCGCUCGCCUGACCCGACUGGUCAGGGCGAACUUUCAACACCUCCUGGACUCUACCACUUACCUUCCUGACUACGGCAUUAUCGCGGCCUACAGGAGGAACAAGAAUAUUAGAGAUCUGCUAGUGAGGGCCAAACUACGCCCCCUGUCGGAGCCCAGAGUCAACAGACUCUCUUAUUUUUAUAACUUUAUCCCGUGGGCCCGAAACCGGAAUAAUGGGAACGUUUUCCCCACUGAUCGCCAUGCUGAUCUUAACACGAGAAAUUGUGUGUACCUUAUCCGCUGCCUUACCUGUGAUCUCCAAUAUGUGGGAGAAACGGGGAAUACAGUUCGUGUCCGCUUCUACCAGCACAGGUACAACAUCACACACAAAAGAGACGCUCACCUACCUGUGGUUGCGCAUUUUGUUGAACACGGAUGGCAGGCCCUUUCCGCGUCUGUGCUCGAAGCAAACCCUUUUUGGUCCACCGCCCAACGGCGCAGGGCUGAAAGGAUAUGGAUUGUCAGGCUGGGGACAUGGCAACCCCUUGGCUUGAACGUUGGGUUGGGCCGGGGACCUCUGGGGUUUCGCCUGAUGAUGGCCCGUGCCAGCGACACCACCGCCUUUGGCAGUGGCGUCGUUAAUUGUUGA